AACGCACCUUGCGCUCCUUGGUAUUCCGAGGAGCAUGCCUGUUUGAGUGUCAUUAAAUUCUCAACCUUUGUCAACUUUUGUUAGCAAAUGGCUUGGAUGUGGGGGUAUGCAGGUUUCUCUUUUGAAAUCAGCUCCUCUGAAAUAUAUUAGCUGGUUGCCUUGUGUAUACCUGUCUAUUGGUGUGAUAAUUAUCUACGCCAUUGGCUAGGUUGCCGUUUGUAGCACUGCUUCUAACUGUCUGUUCAUUUGGACAAUUAUAUUACAAUUUGACCUCAAAUCAGGUAGGACUACCCGCUGAACUUAA
This 304-nucleotide unclassified non-coding RNA is filed under the name uncultured Hypholoma. RNAcentral's name for it is "sequence contains ITS2". The stretch from base 1 to 52 matches the Rfam family "5.8S ribosomal RNA", at positions 103 to 154 of the family's 154-position model. Lineage: Eukaryota; Fungi; Basidiomycota; Agaricomycetes; Agaricales; Strophariaceae. The record is from RNAcentral.